UACUACGGAGAGUUUGAUCCUAGCUCAGGACGAACGCUGGCGGCAGGCUUAACACAUGCAAGUCGCACGAGAACGUUCUGGCUUUGCCAGGACAAGUACAGUGGCGGACGGGUGCGUAUCGCGUAGAUAACCUGCCCUCAGGCGCGGGACAAUCACGGGAAACCGUGGCUAAUACCGCACGUCGUCUGGAUCCCGCAUGGGGACCAGAUGAAAGCCUUCGGGCGCCUUUGGAUGGGUCUGCGUUGGAUUAGCUUGUUGGUGAGGUAACGGCUCACCAAGGCAACGAUCCAUAGCUGGUCUGAGAGGACGAUCAGCCACACUGGGACUGAGACACGGCCCAGACUCCUACGGGAGGCAGCAGUGGGGAAUCUUGCACAAUGGGGUCACCCCUGAUGCAGCCAUGCCGCGUGGAGGAAGACACCCCUAUGGGGCGUAAACUCCUUUUCUGAAUGAAGAAACCCCUGUAGCUUCAGGGCGCGACGGUAGUUCAGGAAUAAGCACCGGCUAACUCCGUGCCAGCAGCCGCGGUAAUACGGAGGGUGC
This 543-nucleotide ribosomal RNA is filed under the name uncultured bacterium. RNAcentral describes it as "bacterial SSU rRNA". It matches the Rfam family "Bacterial small subunit ribosomal RNA", at positions 1 to 535 of the family's 1533-position model. The record is from RNAcentral.